Molecule: transfer RNA, 73 nt
Filed under: Haemonchus contortus (barber pole worm)
Lineage: Eukaryota; Metazoa; Nematoda; Chromadorea; Rhabditida; Trichostrongylidae
Description: tRNA, Pseudo
Source: RNAcentral
UUCCUUGACUGGGGUUUGAACCUAGGCCCCUCAUGUUGACAGUGCGGAGUCUUAACCAAUGGACCACCAGCAA